Molecule: ribosomal RNA, 399 nt
Filed under: uncultured soil bacterium
Lineage: Bacteria
Description: bacterial SSU rRNA
Rfam family: Bacterial small subunit ribosomal RNA
Source: RNAcentral
GAGUUUGAUCCUGGCUCAGAAUCAACGCUGGCGGCGUGCCUAACACAUGCAAGUCGAACGCGAAAACCCCGCAAGGGGUUAGUAGAGUGGCGAACGGGUGAGUAACACGUGGGUGACCUACCUUCGAAUGGGGGAUAACGUCCCGAAAGGGACGCUAAUACCGCAUAACAUCCUGCUUUUGAACAGGUGGAGAUCAAAGCCGGGGAUCGCAAGACCUGGCGUUUGGAGAGGGGCCCGCGUCUGAUUAGCUAGUUGGUGAGGUAACGGCUCACCAAGGCGACGAUCAGUAUCCGGCCUGAGAGGGCGGACGGACACACUGGGACUGAGACACGGCCCAGACUCCUACGGGAGGCAGCAGUGGGGAAUUGUUCGCAAUGGGCGCAAGCCUGACGACGCAAC